Molecule: long non-coding RNA, 404 nt
Filed under: Brassica rapa (field mustard)
Lineage: Eukaryota; Viridiplantae; Streptophyta; Magnoliopsida; Brassicales; Brassicaceae
Description: long non-coding RNA (BRAP_LNC007328)
Source: RNAcentral
UUCACUAUGAUGCAUUCAUUUUCUUUUGAUCACCUAACUUUAUAGUCAUCCAAACUAUUGUGAAACUUGGUCAUUUUCAUCUCACAUUGAGUGAAAAAUGAGUUCCUAUCAGCUAUAUUAUACAUUUCCAACUUGAUUAUGGGUGAGCUCACACUGUUGGUGUCAAUCAUCUUCGCCUUUUUCUUGCAUAAUAUAUACUCUCUCCAUAGCCAGCUCUGAAAAAAAUAUAAGGCUAAAAAAAAAAAUAUUUAAGCUAUUAGUCAUUGAUUUAUCAACAAACAAUAACAGUUAGAAAAAUUCUCGUGAAGGGGGCAUUUACAUUGGCUAACAGAGCUAUUUACAAUUAUUCUCAGAUAUUGGCCAUCAACGUCAUUUAAGUAUUGAGGGGCUCUCAUCGACCAAUU